AUGGAGAAGGACAAAACCAAUGUCCCAAGCUUUGUGAACCCCAACCAAUUCGGAGCUCCUGGAAAUGUUCUGCAAUGCGGUCAACUACCAGUUAUCGUAAAGAGGAUCAGGAAGAGACCAUUGAAGAUCAUUUCUCCAUUUAAAUUACAUCCUGUUAAGUCUACCAUUUCUCUCAACCACGCCCGAAAACUCCGUGACAUAGUAAUCAACGACCUUGAUCUCAAAAAGACUGGACUUCUUGCUUACGAACCUUCUAAGUUAUAUCUUACUGGCAUGGAUCUCGCAAAAAGCUUCGGCGAUGGGGCAUCAAUGCUACCCAGCUUGAUGGAAUACUACAUAGACAUUCUGCGUCACGAUGAGAUUAAAUUAAGGCCCACGUCGGCUGGGUACAGGAUGUUCCUUCGUUGGUCACUAUCGUUCCACCUUAAUGUCGAUGCUCGGCACGAGACGCAAUCCUUCAAUCCUACUUUCAUUGAGGCACUAUUAAAGGAAGACCUCGCGGAUAAAGACCCUCAAGAUGUUCGCAUGAUAUUAUGGGUAUCCCAUCAGGGCAGUCAUUUCUCAGUUUAUUGUGUGAAUCGUGUUCACAGACGGAUUGACAUCCUCGAUUCAGUUGACUGGAGCACACAACAGACUACAUUUGAGGAUUUUCAUAAGCCGUGGGGUCCUAUUGCUGUCGCCAGACUCAAUGAUGCUUUUUUAAAAGUUACUGAGGGGAAGUUCGACAACUUCUGCAAGUGGCCUAUUGCUAGAUUUCCAACCCCCAAACAACUUGCCAACGACUGUCCUUUCUUCUGUUUCAAAUUCCUGAAAUUUUAUGAUGGCGAGGAGAAUCAAUUACGAAUCAAAAUCGACCCAGAGAAGUUUAGUGAUUACAGGUCGGAGGAGCUUGCAUACAUGGUGUUCCAUGAAUUGAAUUUAUUUCGUCAGCUACCACCUCAAAUUGAAGUUUUGAGGAAGGCUAUUACAAAAGCAUAA
This 978-nucleotide ribosomal RNA is filed under the name Triticum aestivum (bread wheat). Its description in RNAcentral is "partial small subunit ribosomal RNA". The record is from RNAcentral. Lineage: Eukaryota; Viridiplantae; Streptophyta; Magnoliopsida; Poales; Poaceae.